This 14830-nucleotide long non-coding RNA is filed under the name Coffea arabica (coffee). Its description in RNAcentral is "long non-coding RNA (CARA_LNC000802)". Lineage: Eukaryota; Viridiplantae; Streptophyta; Magnoliopsida; Gentianales; Rubiaceae. The record is from RNAcentral.
GUUUACAAUGGUUGUGACAGUACACUAAAGAUGAUAUCUCUUCUCUGUGAUUGCAACAUAAUAAACUCCGAUAGUAUCCAUGUUUAUUUAUCCCAAAAACAUGCUCAAUCCUAGAGCACAGCAGACAUGGUGUUUGCAAAUUGCAGUAAUGCGCAAAUUUUGUUAGCAAAUAUGACAGAGUAGCAUCAACAAACAGCAUAAAUAUGAGGAACCAUUCACAAGCUGCAGAAGUUAAGAGAGUCAUAAAUCUACGAUGAUUUCUCAGCCUAACAGAUGAAUUCCCCAUGGCAGCCAUUCUCAGGAGAACAAAUCUCGAUAUCACAUUAAGUUUCCAACUUGAUCAUACCAGUAACUAGAGCUCAGUAACACCGAAAGUCCUGAUUCCUCAAGCAAAUAUCAAUCAAUUCCUCGUGUGAUGGCACACUGUAAACCUUGCAAGAAAAUAAAAGCCGUCAGGACAACCCUAAAUUCAUUGUUCAAGUACAAGAAUUGUACCCAAUCGUCGUACACUAGCCAAAACAUAAACUUAGGUAUUAAUAUCUGGGGAAAAAAAAGGUUAUAUCCAUGAACCAAUAUCACAAAAAGCAUCAAAAUUUGAAUUGCAGGUUGAUCAAAGAGUGAUCAUUAGAAGCGCAACCCUAAGUUUAUCAGUUCAAAAUGAAUCAAGGGGGAUCAAAUACACGAGUAAAUUUGCAGGGAACUAAUGCAAACAAUGUACAUUGGGGCCAUAUCUAAAUUAGCCCAAGAGGGCAGAAAGAAAGUGGAAUUUGUGAGAUAGAUUCUUAAAGCAAAAAAAAAAAAGAAAAGAAAAAAAGAGAGAGAGUGAGAGAACUUUCCUUCAAGAAAGAUUGUGCACUGUAACAACAUAAAAAUCGAUUGUGAGAUUAAACAAAGCAAUAGAGGAGAUAAUUCAAACCUGGUUACGGUGGAAUUGAUGAUGGAGAAAGAGGAACAGGAGGAGGAGGAGGAGGAGGAGGAGGAGGUGAUGGACAUCAGAUGAUGGCGAUCACCAUCAUUAGUCAUGAUAAUGAUUUAUGAGGGGUGCGUGGGGGGGAAAAUAGGAAAUUAAACGGAUAAAAAUGAAAAAUGAAUCAAUGAUCCCGCAAAAAUUACAUGGAGGUCCCUGCCCCGGAAAUUGACUGACCGUUGAAACCAACUGAAUUUCAGUUUCCCACUUUGUAGUCGGCUGCUUAAAACCUAGGCUCCGAUAAGGGGAAAAUAAAGGGAAAAAAAAAAAAAAAAAAACCCCUCCUUAUUCUGUCAGUGUAAGCUUUUACUUUCUCCUUUUUUGACUUUUUAAAUUUUUUAUCGGAGAAAGGAGGCGUGGGCGGGGCCAAUGGGUUUCCAAGUAAAUUUACUGGGCACCUUUUGUUUUUCUUAUUUUUUUUCUUGGAAAAAAAAAUACGCAAUAUACAAAGGGUGCUCAUAAAGUUGCAAUCAUGGACUACCAACAUGUACAUCUAUUUCUACGUGGCAUAUUCGUGAAAAGUGAAAUGAUAUAUUUUUUAAAUUUUUAUUUGAAAGUAUUAAUCAAGUAGCUAUAAGGUCUUCGUUACGAUUUUUAAGUUCUUUAAUUCCCAUUUAUCCAUUGUAAAGUUUGGAAUCUCCAAAAUGCAUGAGUCCUUUCUUUUAGGGAAAAGAGUCCCAAUAGCCCUUUAACUAUUAGUCAGGUGAACUUUUGGCCCUCCAACAAUUAAGAGUAAAUCUUUGGCCCUCGAUUUAUUGAAAGUGCAAAAUAUUGGACCUUCUGUCAAAUUCACUCGUUAAGAUUGACGGAAACUAACACCAUAUGAAACUUAUGCUAAAAUAUGAAGGGCAUUUUAGUCUGUCCAGCAACUUUCUAUUUGGUAAAAAGGGAUUUCUUCCCCAACGAAAAGCUAUAGGAAGAAAAUCUCCCUGGCAGCUGAAGCUUUAGUAUGAUUUAAGCAAAGCUUCUCCGACAUAAAUUAAGCAAUUCCCAAUAGUAGGUUACUAAAGUUGCAAGCUUUAGAUCUAUGAACCUUUCGUGCUCUGACAGUCAUAAGAAUUUAGACGGAAUCACCCCCACUUAUGCAGCAGUUUAGCUAAAACUUCCAAGGAACACCAUCGUCACGCUAUGUACUGGCUCCAUUAUUGUUGUUGUGAAGCAUUUUCUUUGACAUGAAUUUCUUUGACAUGAUAGCAGAAGAGAGGAGCUAGAGAUUGAAUAGCUUAAUUAUUUCUUGAAUUGACUUUGGGGGGGGGGGGAGUGAGGAGGAGAAGUUGGGAAGGAGGAGGCGGCCCAAGUUGGAUUUGGUGAGGAAGGAGUGGAGGGAACAUCAUGUGGCAAUUAUGGUGGACUAAUGGGGCAGAGGCUAGAGAGAGCUUUUUGGAACCGGUAGAUACCAGAAGAUCAAGAAACCUUAACUUCAGCCAAAAUCAACACCAACCCAUCUCAGAAACAGAUCCAACCCCUUCACUCGUCGACUCAAAUCGCUCAAAAUCAACCAUUUCCUCUUGGAACCUGUAAUUCCCCGGCGGAAGCUUCAAGAGAUGUGCACUGGUGAUGAUGGUCGACGAAUUGCAGGAGCUUCCAACCACUUGCGGUGGAGGGAGAGAGAAUGGUAGAAGGCAACAAUUAAGUUAAACUGAUUUUUACUCUUUUUUACUAAGUGGAUGACAGCUUGAACUAAAAUGCCCCUUGUAUUUCGGCAUGCAUCUCACGUGGUGUUGGUUUCCAUUAGUUUUAACAGCUAAACUUGACAGAAGGUUUAACUUUUUACACUUUCGAUAGAUCGAGGGUUAAAAUUUGACUCUUAAUUAUUGGGGGACCAAAAGUUCACCUGGCUAAUAGUUAGAGGGCCAAUGGGACUCUUUUCCCUUUUUUUUAUUAUGAAGAGUUUUAAAUGCACUGCUGCUUUCUUAUGAUGAAUUUUGUUGUUUAAUAACAAGAGCAAUUCAAAAUAUUCGGCAUAAGAAUAUGUAUAGGUGUAUAAAGACGAAAAAGGCUCUGGAAAUUCAAUCAUCCGCUAGUUAAUGCAUCCACGUGAUGAGAAAAUAAGGACGUACGAAUUUCUGCUUCUGCUAUGAAUGCAAUUGAUUAAGUACAAAUGUGAAAUUAUCUCAUAUUAAUGAUAGGACAAACCGAUAACUCAUUCACACAAAAGUGCGUGUAUACACACGUAUGUAUGUAUCUAUGCAUGUAAGUAAAUUUAUGGACUGCGACGAUGAUGUCUUCUUUUUCCUUCUUAUAAAAAGAGUAUAGGUUCUAGUUCUACCAAUAAUUAAGGCCCAAGCGCUUCCUAUGACAAAAGAGGUUCAAUUGUGCAAACAAAGCAAAUAGUUUGUGAGUCAAUUCAGUCAAAAUUCGAUUCAAAUUCGACUAACAUCGAGGCCAUUAUUAAUUAAGAAACUUAGUUAGUUUACUUGCAGGUUGUCUCAAAUAUAAAUAUAAAUACAAACUAAUAUAUAUAUUUUAUAUAAUUUUUAUUUUAAUAAUAUAAUUACAUAUAUAUUCUUAAUAUUUUCCUUUAUUAAUUAAGAAAAAAUGACUACUUUAUUUUAAUUAAAAAAUAAAUAUAAACUAUUUUUUGUUUUUUUAAGUUCUGAGUGUUUUAGAACUCAAAUUCAACUACACUUGAAUUUGACAAUAAAUUCGAGCUCGAGUUUUAUAUUGAAAGUUUGUGGAGUUCAAGUUCGAUUUCAAACUUGAUAAAAUUGAGUUGAAUUCGACUUUGAUUAGAUCAAGAUUUGAUUCAACUUGACUCAUUUGCAGUCUUAACUCACGCAUCAUCAAUUAACAAGUACUACUCAAUUUUUACCCUCAGCAGUAAUGUGUGAAAAAUUCCUAGUUCUGCUGUGCAUAAAUUAAAACCACCAGCCCUUGCCUCCCACCAAAAUGCCACAUUUAAGUGGUUUGCUUCAAAAAAUCCAGGCGGGUGUGUUAUGCACCCGUUUGGUCCAGUGGUAGUUUAGUCCCCUCCGAGUUAUCCUUGGGCCUCCUUAGGUCCGCCCCCCUCCCCUUUAGUGUAGAAUAGAUUAGGUUAUACAACAUUUGUCGUGUCCGAAAAAAAAAAAAAAUUGCUGUGCGUAAAUUAAGUAGUAGUACAUCUAUUUGCAAUAACUCAACAAUUAUGAGCAGCAGAUAAGAUGAAUUAAGUAUAUCGGUUAGCAGUCAGCUCAACCUCAACCACUAACAAACCUAUUAAAGCUCUCCAUAUAAUCCCCAAGCCCAGAUUCAAGGUACAUUUUUCUUUCCUUUUUUUUUUUGGUUGUUGGGUGAAUUAUGAAAUUGAAUCAAUAAGACUGGAAGAAAGGAACGCAAGGCCAAAUAGUACUUAUGGAAUGGCAUUGCCUAGUCAAUUCUUAUUGCUUUGUCCCUUGGUUGCUACCACGCUUGUCGUCUUGAGAAAGAAGAGAAAGGGAAAAUCACUGGGGCUUCCGUCCAAUUGACCAAAGAGAGCAUCUUAGAACUCUCCCAUGUAUUUUUUUUGUUGUUUGAAAAAUUUAGAGAAUACAAUAGUGCAUUUAUCUGUUCUGGAAAUUCACCUCCAAACCUAUAUAAAAGCUCAGAAAAAGAAAAAAAAGAGAGAAAGAAGAAAAGGUGGGAAAAAGGGAAUCCCUUAAAAGAAGUUGGGGGGAAGAGAAAAUUACAAAUGAAUCAUUUAUGGCCUCGCGUAAAAGAAACAAAAAGGCCUCCUACUUGAUCUAGUACUAAUUACUACGUGAUUACUGCUCGGCCUGGUCCGGUGUGGACUUUCUAUGAUGGGUCUGUGGAAAAAGAGUUUCGUUCUUUUCCAACAGCCCAAUACCUCACCCAUGUUCCGUUAAAAUCUACAACGGGUUUCUGAUAAAAUUUUCUUCCUUUCUUCUUUCUUGGGAUUAAUUUCCUCUUUUCGAUUUAUAUUUAGUAAAGCGUUAUUUAUUCAUGAAGGGUUUAUCAAGAUAUUUAACUGUAGGUGACUGGGGAUUGUGAUUGUUUUUCUCUUCAUGUGCUUUGUAAUGAAUGAAUAAAUUCAUAUGAUUGCUUUUCUUAUGCCACUGUAGCUGAAGCAAAGGUGUGUGAGGAAUUUCUCGGUGCAAAUUGGGAAGGGACCAAAUGCCAAAGACCUCAAAAUCGAUGGAAUUAAGGACAUCAUAGCAGUUGCUUCCGGGAAAGGCGGUGUUGGCAAGUCCACUACAGCUGGUAUUUCUCAAACGAUUCCCUGUUGUCUCUGAUGUAGUUUCUUGAAUAGAAGGUUAGGUUUUGUACCAAGGUUUUGCUCCUUUUUCCGUCGAAGGGUAAACAACUGAAGUAAGUCUGCUUUUGACACUAUACGGGAUUAGUCAUUUGAAGAAGUAUGCAGUGGAUAGGAUUUCAGGGUUAACAAUCUAAAAAUGAUAAAAACAAAAUUAACGUAGGAUAUUUUUCCACUUGCACCUCUGAGUAUAGCGAAUUUUAGCAUGUUAGCUCUAUAUCUUAAGACAGAUCAUAUAAAUUGGAGAUGCAUAUUGGAAACGCAAAUGUGGCAUAACAGACAGCGAUAUUAGAAGCAUUUCUGUGUAUUUUGCCAUCUGUUUUUAAAUUCUUAGUUCUUACGGUUGCACUAACUGAUUAAGUCAUGUGCAUGGUUACAAAAUUGUGAUGACAAUGAAAACAUGCCUUCUUCGCUUGUAUUCCUUCCUACCAAUUUGACCUCUUUUGAGAUGUUUAUGUUUGCUUGACCGUACAGUUAAUUUAGCUGUUUCACUUGCCAAGAAGUGUCAACUUAAAGUUGGGUUGCUCGAUGCUGAUGUAUAUGGACCGUCAAUUCCACUAAUGAUGAGACUUCGGGGAAAGCCUGAAGUUAGUAUAGGUGAUGCUUUGAAUUCCUUGAAAUUGUAUGAACUGUCUUAAUUUUUCCUAAGUGGGAGGAACUAUCUUAUUUCAGUUAGAGUGAUGGUUAAUUAUCUAAAAGAGGGUUUUGAUACUAACUAUCUAGAGAAGUUAGGAUACUUGUUUUAUUUUUAUUCUUCCGCCUGCUGAUAAUGUGUUCUAACUUCUCUUUGGUAUGCUCUUUUAACAGAUAAGAAAAUGAUUCCAAUUGAAAACCAUGGAGUGAAAUGUAUGUCAAUGGGAUCUCUGGUUGACGUUGGUGCAGCAAUCGUUUGGAGGGGUCCAAUGGUAUCAUGUUACACUGUUGUAUCACUUGGCAUUUUAGAUUGGUUUGCUGUAUCUCUUUUUUUUUUUGGGGGGGGGGGGUUAAUUUUCUGUACUUUUCCUUUUUUAGUUUUUCCCCUUUGCAAUUUUUGCUGCACUUUUUUUGGCUUCCUUGUGUUGUUCACUUAUUCAUCGGUUAUAUUCUGUUUUACGUUAAUUGAAGCCUAUUUAUUUUCUUCCUCAGAAUUGCUAUUUAUACUGGAGGUGAAUUUCUGAUUUCUUCUGCCUAUCUGUUUACACUGAUUUGGUUACAGUUACAUCCUUUAAGAAUCUUAAUAUUUUCAUCAGUUUCAUGCUUACUCUUGCAGGUUAUGAAAGCUCUUGAACAGAUGACAAGGGGAGUUAACUGGGGAACCUUGGAUGUUCUUGUGGUUGAUAUGCCCCCUGGUACUGGUGAUGCUCAGAUAUCUAUUUCCCAGAGGCUGCAACUGUCAGGUACCUAACAAGUUUGUUGGAAGUUGGUCUUACAUUUUUGUAGUAUGCUGGAAUAGCAAGAGAUUGAAGGAUGUCGAAAUGAAGCCUGUUGCAGCUCAGGCUAGAAUAAUGCUGGGUUUGUAAGUUUUGAAUAACAUAAUCUCAAUUGCUGCUCGUUCAUCUCAGUAUAAUAAAGCUUCCUUUUUGUAAUACCCGUUGAGCAAAUUUAACUUUCAAAUACAUAUUUCCAGUAUGCUGCUUUCUAGUCAAAUAUGUUAAGCUUCGUCAGCAUUACUUCUUCCUUACCCAGUAUGGAUAUUCUGGCAGUAACUAUAGGCACUUAAAAUGAGAACCAUGCUCUUUCAGCAUGUGUCUUUCAGGAGAACUUUUCCUUGCAAAUUCCACUUUUCAGAUGAUGGAGCAUUUGAAGUCAAUUCUAUGCUUAAUCUGAAUUCGAUUUUUUUUUUUGGGGGGGGGGGGGUUUGCUUUGAUAAUUUUGAAAUGUACCUGUAUUCCUUGAUAAUCUGGAACUACUUUGUUCUGUUUGCAGGAGCAGUAAUUGUUUCAACUCCUCAAGAUGUUGCACUACUGGAUGCUCGAAGAGGGGUGAAAAUGUUCUCUCAAGUCAAUGUACCAGUAUGAUCUUUUUUUGAGCAAAUUGUAUUCCCAUAAAAGUUUUUAUGCUUUGAGUGUGUUUACGAUAGCACAUAGGUUCACAAUUGAAUGCUAUCUAAAGACCAGAGUCAAUAACAUUCCAGGUUCAACAUACCUGGUUUUCAAUCUUUUGAUCUGUAUGCUUGUGCAUGUCAAUUCAUGGUUGAGUUUUGGAUCAGAUUAUUAGAGUUUUGCUUCUCCUCAGAAAACAGGGCAUGAUGGGAGAAUUAACAAAUACAGAAGGACUAGUUUCUGCAAUCAAAAGCUAUUGGCACGCACGCACACACACACUAUAUUUCUUUUGUCCCAGAUGCUGUUCACUGCUAACUGUUUAAAACCUUGUUCUCAUCUCACAGAUCCUUGGACUCUUGGAGAACAUGAGCUAUUUUAAAUGUCCCAAAUGCGGAGAACCUUCGGAUAUUUUUGGUAAGGGAGGGGCGCGCAAAACAGCAGAGGAAAUGGGUGUGCAGUUUCUGGGGGAGGUAAUUGGAUGUUUUUUGUGUCGCUUGUUAGGGUGUUCGGAUAGUUUUGCAGGUCACCCUCCUAUAAGCAUGUUGUUUAAUCGUUUCAGAAUAAUAUAACAAGUGUUAUCCCUGUUCUGUCUUGGGCACUGAAAUUAGGACUUCCUGUACCUGUUGGAUGAAAAAUUGUAAGUUUGAUCAUAUAGAUAGCUGAACAAUUUCCUCUGCCAAUCAUUGUUUAUGGCCCAACCACCUAGUCUACAAGUAAAACACGCUCUGUCGUUACUUCAAUAAGGUUCUUUUUGUGUUGGAGAGGUAGGUUAGUGUUUGAUUCCCAGAAUUUUUGUACUACUGGCUAAUUUGUUGAACCGUCGCUAUCUGAUAUAUGGUAGCUGGUGAUAUCUUGACCUGCUUCUAAUUCUCUCCGUCCUCUUUUUUUUUGGCACUAAAUAUCCUCCUCCUUUGCUUCUCCUUGAGGCUGCAUAUUUUUCAUGAGAUUCUUUUCAAACUACAAACAUUUUGCUUAAUUAAUGCUCUAAUCUGUUGUAUUUCAUCUUUAUAGGUGCCGUUGGAGGUUGGCAUCAGAAGCAGUUCUGAUGAAGGUGUUCCUAUUGUAGUAUCAGACCCUGAAUCUGUAGUCUCGCAUGCGUACGGUGAUGUGGCCGAGAAAGUUGCCAAUAUACUUGACGAAUUGGCCAAGGAGCAGCAAUUCCGACCAGAGAUAGUACUGUAGAGGUCGCAGUGAGCUGCUGUUUAACAUCAACUUUGUGCUUUUUGACAGCUUUUGAGAUGGGAACAUCGGGUGGUGGUGAAAGCCGGACUUGGGAAUGGGCCGCUGCUGUUGUGGUUAAUUAUCUCAGGGAAGAAGAAACUGAAACAUGUAUAAUCCCGUCAAAGGUGUGGUUGUAUUAUGCAUUUGCUGCAGCUGCUUGAAAGUGCAGCUUAUUAUUGCAAGGUUGCUGCAAGUCUCGGGCGGGCAAAAUGGUGAUACGGCCUUUAAGUUCUCUUUCAACUCAUUUUGUUUGAUCUUCUUCACGUCGUUUUGCUUAACAUUUUGUCAAAUAAAUGCAAGACACACUACUGAGAUGAAUAGAAUCGCGAGUACAUAAAUGUGAAAUAGCCAGCCUUCCAAACUUUUCUCGGAUAAACAAGAAGCUUUGGAUCAAUUAGUACACAUCUCUUUGACUCGUCCGGUCAUUUUAGCAGAUCCCUCAAAAGUUAAUACUAAUAAUAUGCGCCUUUUUGCUUUAUUUGAAUAAAUACUAAUAAAGAAAUGAGGGAUGGAGACCUAAAAUGCCAGUGGGAUGGAUGAUCGUUCCCGGGAAUAUAAUAAAUUCAACAAGGAUGGUCAAAAGGAGUUUUAGGUUCGUUUCUUCAACUAGGAGAGGGCUUAUAAUCACACCAUCCGCCCUCCGUGACACUUUGGCAUUUUUUAUUCAAUCUUCUUAGCCAAGCCUAUAUAUAAUAUAAUAUUGACUAAGAAUUGAAAAGAGGAAAGGCUAAAAGGUGGCUUGCUUGGAUUGUUUGUUUUCGUCGGAAAAUAUUGUCGUUUUCCGUGAUCACAUUUCCCUAUCACCUUUUUCCCUCACAUAUAUCAAAUCGCUACAGUAAUUUUUUCAUGAAAAAUGAUGAAAAAUGCAAUCCAAACAUAACCUUAGGGAAAGGAGCGAAAAAAGGAAUUUUUAGCAGGUUUUUUUUUUUUUUUUUGGAGAUCAAGAAUGUGUGAAUGAAUGGGAUUUGUAUUGGGUUGUCAAAUUAUCAACUUGAGUUAUAUGGACCCUUUCUUCCAAUCUUCCCCCCCCCCCCAGCAGAUGCGGUGUCCCGACUGGCUAAGAUAAAGCUUAUCGCCAUAUCGGUCACGAAACUUCCAUGAGAGUGACCAGAGCUGAAGCAUCGCAACAAGAGAUCAACCGAUUCUAAUUCUGAUUUUUCUUUCAGUUCUUGCUUCUUUUCUUUAGAAAAAUCACGAACUUGAUGGACAGCUGACCUGAGUUUCUUCUCUGAGCCAAUAUUUAACGCCCGCUUGACUUUCCAAAUCAAAGGAAAGGGCGAACUGAAUAUGUCCCUGCUAAUCCGAGUUGCAUUUUCGAAAGCAGCCGCAGAUUUGGCCUCUGGGAGAGAUGGCAACAGAUGCUGAGGAUCGUACCCGAAAGCUAUUCUGCAGAUGUUAUCAGAUGCAAAUCUCUCAAGUAUGUCUUGGAUAUGAUCUUGGGAGCCCAGAGCUGGACUUGCUUGUAAAAGUAAUUUUGAUCAUCUUAAUGUUCAACAUUGUUUGUAAAUUUAGUAGUACAAGAACAAUGUGGAUGGUUUAUCUUGUUAUAUAUGAUUGGUUCUACACUGCGUUGCUGCAUGCCGCAGCUAGCCGCUUAUAUAUAUAUAUAUAUAUAUAUAUAUAUAUAUAGCUGCAUUUAUAUCAUUGCCAGAAUUGUCUACUUAAUUUCACCAGUUUCCACUAUUCUGGAUUUCUUUCUUAGUUUUAUAUUAGCUAAAGUCUCCAUUAGUCUUUCUUCGGGUCCCAACUUUCACUCCUUGGAACUUAACUCUGCCCUUGCGUCAUUGCAUGUGUAAUACCUUGCAAACUUCGGACUCAUGUGAAGUCAUUUUUCUCUUGAUCUUGGAGUCAAUAAUUCUAAUGGUCAAUUGUGCAUUUUCAAGGUUGAUUAAGAUUCUUAUUAUUCUUGUUGCUAUUAGAAAGUUUUUUACUCCGUUCAUGUCAAUCAUAGGAGCAGGGAAAAGAUUCAACUUCUGAAUGCAGCACAAUGCUGUACAUCUGCAUUAGAUAUGGCAAGGCCCUAACCUUUGGAACAAUUUCAAGAUAGCAACUGUUCAAUUAUAACUUCUAAUCAACGGAAUGUAUACUGAAUUCCUUAUCGUACGGCAGAACUAAAAUUACAAGUAGCAUUUUUUCCUGAGAAAUUAGUCCUUGCUAUUUUUGGGGGAAAAAAUUUUCACUGGUGUUGACCAGAUUUCACUAAUUCUUUGCCGGUCGGUUUUCUAAGUAAGCUUGGACCGGACACCCAACUGAUUUUCAGUUCAUCAGUUGAACCAGCCAGCAUCUGCAUGGACCGGACAUCGUUCCAUUCCUUCUCACUCGUACAAUAAUAUGGCCUAAUUUGUUAGUAAGCACCAGAUCAGCUCUCAUUUCUUGAGCAAACUCCAACAUGAUACCUACAGCUACUCUCAAUGCAUGUGCACAUAAGCACACACGGAAGCACCAGUACUUGCAUCGUAUCAAUCAAUCUCUUUCUACCCCCACUGCCCAGAACAAAAUCAAGACCACGAUGAAGGCCACGGAGCAGACAAAGAUCAUUGUAGAAUUUCGCGCAUGGCAUCCAGGUAACAAAAGGAAGCUAACAGUUGGAGCUUCUCAGAAUGGAGAAACCAACACAAUGUGCAUUGAAUGAAUCAGCCCGACUUCAAAACUACUCCGAGGACUUUUCCGCAUUUACAUAGUGCCCGAACUUUGGGAGGCAAUUAAAACCAUAUACACAGUAAAAUUGAUCAAUAUCCAAAUUCUCUUUACAUAGAUCCCAACAAAAUUUUCUAAAAUCAAAGACAUGAUUAACCUGCUAAACUCACACUUCGAUUCAGCUCAACGUGGAAAACAAAGCUUUAUCCAGAUUUCAGGAAAAACAAAACAAAAUUGCAGUUGGGGAUUUGCAUUCGUUCAAAUAAGACAUUCCUGAUCCCAGCUAUCCCUCGCUUUAAUAAAAAUUUAGUUUGGCACUUUUGAACAAACCUUGUGUUUAUGGCAGACAACCAGAAUGCAACUGAAAUCCUGUAUGUCACGGAUUCCAGCAAUGAUACUGAUCAUGUUUCUCUGUCCAGCUCCUGCAAUUCUGCAUGCAUCUGGAAAACUUAGAUUCUUGAAGAUAUCAAACUUUGUAACAAGAAGCAUAUAGAGCUAAAGGAAUUUGCAGUAAUAUUUGUUCCAACAACCAGAGAAGUUCAUAAAGGCAAAACAUGCAUAUUAAAAUCAGUUAUCUUGCGACCAAUUUGAUAAAAGAAAUGUAAAAUCUCAUCCAUUCAUUUUAUAUAUAUAUAAAAGAAUAUAUAAUUCCAACAAAUAAUUGCAUUCGAGUUCCAACAAAAAUAGGAAAUCUUGUAGGAAGUAGGAAUAAACAUCACGGACAAUAAAUUUUGAAAAUUAUCAUCUUCUUGAUUCCGAUGCAUCUCUUGAAAGUCAAACUAUGACAUUAUAAUGCAAAACCUUUCAAUUUAGUAGCCAAAAAUUUUUGAAUGCCAUGGUGUUUGUAACCCGAUUUGUUGCCUAGAAAAGUAAUAACGUGAUGCACAAUUUUUUUUUUGUGGGGUUAAUUCGAGAAUCUAUCGCAUAAAUUAGACUCACUAUCUUUGCUGAAUAACUUAUCCACUGACAUAUAAAUUGAUACUUGGAAACAGUAAAAUAUGUACUCACUGGCACAUUGCAGGACAAAGUGGAGACAAGUAAACAUUUGUUAGCCUAGCCAACCAUCAUGGCAGGGAUGGUAGAUUACACUUCAGGCCUAUACAUUAGUUAACCUAGCACUUAUUAUUAGCCAAGCAUAAUGCUUCAUGCAUAAAAUAUACUUUAUCACUUACUUCGCAAGUGGGGCAUAGCAACCUCAAGGGAUGGAUAGGCACCUUUUCUUGAACUCAAUUUUACGUAGUUCUUGUAAUUGAUAAGCUAUCUCCUGAAUAAACUGCAAUCCAUCAUUCCCAUUCCGGAGUGAGUUCAAAGCAUGCUUGAUAAUAUCCCGGUCCAUCUCAAGUGCUUCCAACCUGCUUUUAAGGUCAAUAAAUUCACUCUCAAAGGUAUCUAAUUUUCUUACACCUCCAUUUGUGGAUAAAUUUUCCUGGCUAACAUCCAGAUAAUCACUUUCUUCACAAAGAAGUUGAUUUUCUUGAACUAAUUUAGCAGACACAUCCCCCCCAGAGAUUCCAUUUGGUGCACACAAAUCAUUAUGCAAUGACAAUGCACACUCUCCUUUUUGAUGGCUUAUCUGAGUUUGAGUAUCAUAAGGCAGCUUCUCAUCAUCCUCAACCCUUUUGGUUGCAUGUUCAGCAAAUUCGCCAUUUGCCAAGUUUAUAUGCACCCAAUUACUAGAAAUAUGAUGAAACUUCUUCUCUAACUUUUCCAGACACAGCGAAAUAUAUAGUUUUUCAUCCUCAAAAUCCAGCUCUGAGUUACUUAACUGUCUAGGUUUAUCACUUCCUUUCAAUGCAUUGUCAGAUUUUGAAUCAUCAGUGGCAAUGUCGCCAUUUUCAACGGGAAGCAGAUGAUAUUUCUCACCUGUCUUGCUUUCUGCUUUAGCAUUGCUGGUUUCAUUACAGUGAUAAUCUAUCUCAGGUCCUUCUAAAAUAUUAUUCCUAUAUAUCUCUACUUCAGCUUCCAAAUCUUGCACCUCUUUCUCUCUUUCAGCAAGAAGAUCAUUAGCCUUUUCCAGUGCCUCCAUAUCAUAUUCUGCCUGCUCCUCCAUCAUUCUUAAGUACUGCAAGGCUUCCAUAUGUAGUGCUGCCUUUUCCUCUUGCAAUCUUGUGAUCAUGGCCAUUGCCUGGUUUGCAGCUAUUGCAGCAGCAUUUCUUUCUUCUUCCAAUUCCUUAAACAUAGCUUUCAUGCAUCUCCUGUCAUAGUCAACCUGUCGUUUUAACCUUUCAAGAAGAGUUUCACCCUCAAUUUCUUUGACACUGAUUCCAUCCAGAGAUUCAUGAUCAGAAUCAUGUCUUUCCAAUGCAGCAGCCAUUUGAACCGUAUCUAUUGCAUCAGAGCCCAAAGCAUCACUUUUUAGGAGGGCAUCACAAUGAGCUCUGGGACUUCUGUCUUUUGGUGAUAGGUCCACAUUCGACGAAGAUAUUUGUGAAGGUGAUCUCAGAGCUUCUUCUACUCUUCCAGAAUCAUUGGUUUUAUGUGGCUCUGCAAGGACAUCAGGUUCCGGUUUUUGUUUAUUAGUAGAAGCUGAUUUGUUGGCUGAGUUGACAUUCCUGGACAUUGUAGGAUUACAAUCAUCUGUAAAUCCUGCUCCUAUUUUGUGCUUAGCAAGUGAGCUGUUCCCAUUCACACUGCAGCCUGUUGCCUCUGCCGCUGUAAGCCAUUGGCCAGAUCAGAGAUAAGCCAAAUGCAACAAGAUAAAUGCAUUGAGCAAACUGAUUUUAGAGUAUCAUCAGGAGCUAUUCAGAAUGAAAGUGCAAAACACUCACCCACCCCCCCCCCCAAAACAAAAACACACUCCAUGCUGGUGCACAGACAGACGCAGGCGCAUGCACAACCACACUGAGAGAGAGAGAGAGAGAUAACUUCCACUUACACUUCUCAGAAAUUUUCACGACAUUGGAUGAUGAAAGAACACUGUUAAGUGAAAGAAGCUCGGAGAGUAUAGACAGGUCGGAAGGUUGUGGGAAAGCAGCAAUUGGCUUGUCCGUCUCUACUGACUGGGGAAUAUCAUCCAAUGAAACAAGCUCUGGCAAUGCAGCAGAAGUAGUAGGCUUUGGAUUGGAUUGUAUCCAAUUAAGUUCUUCCAAACCAUGCUUCAUAAAAGCACCUGAUUCCAAGUGACCAACAUGGUUGGCCUCACUUGAUUCAAGCUGCACGGGUUGAUCAAGAAGUGAAGGCAAUGGUUCAGGAGUUUGGCAAUUCUGGUUUACUGGAAUUGAAUCACCUGCUAGUGCCUUAGGCACUUUUCUUGUAACCAAUUGGAUGUUAGAUUCUGCCCCAAAAUUAUUGUUUCCAUGAGAUGUUGAAGUUGCAUCGUCAUCAUCAGAAAAUGGGACCUCUGACUCUGAAUCAGAAGUAAUCUUCAACUCUGUGUAACCCACGUGAGACAGAGAGUCAACACAAGUACUCCCACCAGGACAAGGGGCCGAUGGCCCUGAAAACUUAUCCCUUAAUCUCUUCAGGCUAUCACGACGGCUGAAACGACUACGACCUGGCACACGAGGUAAUGGAGGUUUGACAUUGGCUUUAGAAGCGCCAUAUCCAACUGGGGCGACCUCGAGCAACCUUUGAGCAUUUGAUUUAACCCUUAAUAUCUUGUUGCAACAAGAGCAGGUCCUUGGACCUGAAGAAUCAGAGAUGACACUCUUGUUCAAAAGAAGGCUCUUCAGACCAGAUUCAUCAGUAUCUACCCCUAGUUUCGCAACCAAAAACCGGCACGAUUCUGAAUUAGAUUUGUUCCUCCUAGCCAACGAC